GGGGAAUAUUGCACAAUGGGCGAAAGCCUGAUGCAGCAACGCCGCGUGAGUGAUGAAGGCUUUCGAGUCGUAAAGCUCUUUGAUCAGGGAUGAUAAUGACAGUACCUGAAAAACAAGCCACGGCUAACUACGUGCCAGCAGCCGCGGUAAUACGUAGGUGGCGAGCGUUGUCCGGAAUUACUGGGCGUAAAGGAUGCGUAGGUGGAUAUUUAAGUGGGAUGUGAAAUCCCCGGGCUCAACCCGGGAACUGCAUUCCAAACUGGAUAUCUAGAGUGCAGGAGAGGAAAGCGGAAUUCCUAGUGUAGCGGUGAAAUGCGUAGAUAUUAGGAGGAACACCAGUGGCGAAGGCGGCUUUCUGGACUGUAACUGACACUGAGGCAUGAAAGCGUGGGUAGCAAAC
RNAcentral lists this ribosomal RNA (400 nucleotides) under uncultured bacterium. Its description in RNAcentral is "bacterial SSU rRNA". It matches the Rfam family "Bacterial small subunit ribosomal RNA", at positions 356 to 773 of the family's 1533-position model. The record is from RNAcentral.